This is a non-coding RNA of Acanthosepion pharaonis, 112 nucleotides long. The record is from the annotation of a GenBank genome assembly. Lineage: Eukaryota; Metazoa; Mollusca; Cephalopoda; Sepiida; Sepiidae.
UAUGGCCAUAUCACAUUGAAACACCAGUUCUCAUACGAUCACUGAAGUUAAGCAACGUCGAUCCUGGUCAGUAACUAGAUGGGUUAUUGUUUGUGAAUAUCAGAUGCUGUGG